GCCAGUGUGGUGUAGUGGUUAGAGUGAUAGGCUGCAACUCUGGAGACCAGGGUUCAAUUCACCACUUGAGCA
Non-coding RNA from Phrynosoma platyrhinos (Desert horned lizard), 72 nucleotides. The record is from the annotation of a GenBank genome assembly. Lineage: Eukaryota; Metazoa; Chordata; Lepidosauria; Squamata; Phrynosomatidae.